AGGAGCUGCUGCAGAAGGAAGAAGAAGAAGCGGCGUGGGGACCUGGGAGGCAGGAGCAAGCAAGAAGAGGAAGCGGAAGCGUGCAGAUGCGGGGGGGAAGGAGAGAGGCUCCCUGGGCAAAGCACCUGUCCCGUUAGCAGGGGCACAGUCACGUUUGAGUUGAGAGCUGCCGGCGCCUUUGGUGACCAGGCUGGCGUUGUGCUGGGCGACCUCCCCGUAAGCGGGGCUCGGGUCUUUGCUGUAGUUGGCCUUUUGCCUUGCUGCUCCUUUGGCUGCCUGGGGAGCGUGGCCCCCUGUAACGGAGGGCGAGAGCCACCUCUCCGCACCUGAGUGGGAAAUGGAGCUCGCCGGACCCCAAGGCCACCCUGUAAGCAGGGUAGUGCCGUUUCCCUGCCCCUCUUCCUCCCCCGGCCCCUCGGCAUCGUUGCCUGAUGGUGGCUUGUCAACGCGACGGCCCCGUACUCGGGGUGUGCGUCACGGCAUUUGGCCGUUGGCUUUAUCUGAGAAGCCCCUUGGCACGUUGAGGUCUGUGGCCUCCGUGCAGCCUAGGGACAGGUCACAGGCUCUUGUCUGUUGCCCGUGGUUGUGGGUUUAUUCCCAGGUGUUGGCUGUGCUGCGUUGUCCUUCCCUUCUGGAAAGUCGUGCCUGUGUGUGCGUGUUCCCCUUCCUUUCCUUGUUUGUGUUUGUGGAGUGGUUGAGCGGCUGUGCUUUCCCUUUAGGCCUCCACAAAAGAUGGCUGCAGCUUAGCUUUGACUUCCCAGGGGGGAAUGGAGGACUUUGGUGCAUGCCGCAAAAGGGGUGUUCCCUCUUAGUCCUGCGAGCGCAGCGAGUGUCCUGUCUUCCUACUAUCUUCCUUAGUGCAGAUCAGAGCCACAUGGUAGUUCUGUGGCCAAGGCCUCCCUGUAGCCAGGGCUUGGGCCUGUCCUUGCGUGGCCCGGCCUGUCCUGCUGGUGGCGGUGACAGCCCCGUACUCGGGGUGUGUGUCCCAAGCUUCGGAGCCCUCUGUCCCUGAGCAGCCCGCCCGCCCUGUAAUCAGGUGUGGGGAGGCUGCAGCGUUGCAGCCGGCUGCUUUAGCCAUCCAGCUGGUGGGAGUGACCCCUCCCUGUCCCGUCAGAGGGUGCAGGUUGAGGUGCUGUUUGUGUGUGGGGUGACCUCCCCGCUCGGUGGGUCGAGGUAGCUCCCUGGGCUUCCAAAGACGAGACGUUGGUGAUGUUCUGCUGCUGCCGGGCGGGCCAGCCUGUAACUCAGGCGUUGGCGGGAGCCUCGUGCUCCGCGGGGCUUCUUG
Molecule: long non-coding RNA, 1285 nt
Filed under: Gallus gallus (chicken)
Lineage: Eukaryota; Metazoa; Chordata; Aves; Galliformes; Phasianidae
Source: RNAcentral